Molecule: long non-coding RNA, 9178 nt
Filed under: Xyrichtys novacula (pearly razorfish)
Lineage: Eukaryota; Metazoa; Chordata; Actinopteri; Labriformes; Labridae
Source: RNAcentral
AACACAAGCCGGCAUGAUGACGUGAAUGGACACACAGCAAGUAAGUGGAGGGAUGAAUAUCUAUGUGAAUGAAUAUUUAAAUUAGUCUAUAGAGCUCCAAGUGUGCACCCUUGGUUACCCUAUCCAACAGAGAAGGGAGGAGGAAAAGUAGCGCUGUUUAGUGGGGAAUUCCCGACGCUGGCAGGGAGGGAAAUGUUGGCGUGUCUGCAGGUAUAUGUGGCUCCAUGUGCUACCCGCAGUCAAUGAGGACGCCGCUCCGUCACACCCCCUAAACGCUGAAAUUGUGAUAAUAUUUCUAAUGUUUAAAUAGUAGUGAUAUUUCCACAUUCAUUGACCAUUUUUAGCAGGGACUGAUGUGAAAUGGAAAACAAGUCAUGAUUACAAAUUCUGUUUGGAAAUCAUAAAUUCUGCUUCCCCAAACCAGACUUUGGCUUAAAUUUAAUUGUUUACAUAUAUAUCUAACUUAAAUCCAGUUGAACAGUAGAUUCGGGGGCCAAUAAUGCCAACUGAGAAAAUUACUGAAUGUCUCUCAUGAGUUGCUGUUGCAGAUAUAGAGAUACCCAUUAGUGAACUACGCCACCAAUUGCAUGUCUGUAUAAAAUGCAGGGUAUGCAGCUAUUGCUUUGAGUGUCAUGUCAUGAGGUUAGUCAAACUGCAUGUGAAGUGAAUCUGUCUGAGCCUGCAAACAGUUUUUAAUUGGUUUGAAAACAGACAGUACGCGUUAGGUGUGUCACCUGCCCACGGGUCAGAACAAACCCAGAGAAACAUGGUUGUUGCACGAAGACUUUAUGACUCCGCUGCAACACAUCUCUGUGGUUACUUUUAUCACACACUGCAAAAUCUUAAGAUUUGAAAGGUAAAUUUUUUUCAGCAUCAGCCAUGAAUAUUUGUUGAUUUGAAGAGUGAUUUUUAACUUGUUUUGUUACCAGGCCUGUGGUAUUGCCAUCACAUGUUUCAGCCUGGUGUGCCAUGUGUGAUUUUCAGAACAGGUUGUACUGCUCCGCAUCAAACCUGGACCAGACAUGUUCAUGAAUCAGUGUUUAGCAGCAACAUAUUUUCCAUACAGUUGUCAUGGUAAUGUGAUUACUUUAAAACAUGUUGUGCUGGGGAUCGUAUUAAAAUCACAGUCUUGUUUGCUGUCUUAGCAGCGGUGUGUUGGGGACCUAAUAUUAGUUACGCUCUGUGUACAAAGCAUAGUGACCAAAAAUUGAAGAAAGGUGAAAGAAAAAAGGAGAAAUGCAUCUUCCUCACAACAGUUUUCUUUGCAUGUUUCUCUGCAGGCAGAUUUGGAGUCAUUGUAACAUAGGCUCAAAAUUCCCAACACAACUAUAAUCCUAUAGUUAUAUCUUUAUGGACUUGGACAUGGUUGCAUGUACUCAGACUGGGAAGAUGAUAAAAAGGAUUUAGAUUAAUUUGUACUUUUUUAUUAUCUGUGUAGUUUCUCAUUCAUCCAGGUCAUGGUUAUCCAACUAGACUUUUUUGAGGUUAUUGAAUACGUUUCACCUCUCCUCCAAAAGGCGUCUUCAGUUCAAAGUAUCUGGGGCCAAUGUUCGAGACUUGUAGCCUCUGUUGGUCUUCCAGCUGUAAAAGGGGUGGGUGGUCACCUGAGAGUCGUUAGCAGGAUUGGUGACCUGGUUUCACCUGGGGGGUGCCCUCCUAGGUUUCCUUAGGUUCGCCUUUCUUGCAUGAUGUUGGAGCCUGUAAUCUAGCAUGAAAGGGUUGUUAUCAAAAGGAACCCAAAGCUGAAUUGUUAGUGGGGGAUAAGAAGUGCCUUUGUCCGCUGCCUCUGUUCAAGGUUGUUUUCUGUAGUUUGAUAAAGACGGCUUCCUUGACACCUCUUUAAACCAGCGGUCUUCCCCGGCCAGUAUCCUAACAUCCCUGUCCUCAAAGGAAUGCCCCGUAUUCUUCAGAUGUAGGUGAACAGCUGAGUCCUGACCAGAGGACUUAGCUUUCGCAGUGUGUUGGUGUGUUUGAAGUGUACUGGCAUGUUGUGUUUCUGGAUACCCUCGACAAGUAGGGAAUAACAAUGCUGUGCCGCUUGUUGUUCUCUUCUUCCCUGUUGGUCUCCAGCUUCUUAGAAGACUUGACAAAGGCCCACUUGGGGUACUCGCGUGUUUUCAGGGCUUCCCUGAGGUGUUGGUCUUAGUUGGUAUCUUCUCAGCCCUGUGUUGAAGAGUUCUGAUGACGCCCAAUGGUGAGAAUCAGAUAGUAGAUCCUGGUCUGUGUGGGUAACUUUUCUGUGAACUUCUAAGCUGCACAAUCCAGGAACUUAAGAGAAGAACAGCUGCUUCUUUAUGAAUCCUCAGAUAAUGGGGACUCAACUAGGACACAAUUCCUCUUUUUUUUGUGAUUUGGUCUUGACUUAAACUUAAACGCUGGAGACUUGAGGUUUGGUGUCUUCAAAGAAAGGUCAUGGUUUGUUAGGUUUAAGGAAAGGUCAAAGUUUGGGCUUCAAGAUGUGACUUUCAUACAAAUGUUGGGUUUGGUACAUGACGAAAGGUAAAGUAAGAGUAAGUCUCGAUAAGCAACACAGAUUGUUGUUUCUAAUGGGAUUCAGACAGCAGUUUCUGAGGUUAAAGUUGUGAGAUGAGACCUGUUGUUCUUAAAACCAUUCAAAGUGCAAUUAUUUUCAUUGAGUGAGGCCAGGCUGCACGAUUAAAAACAAUGCAAUCCAAAAGCUAGAAAUGUAACAAAAAGAAUGAAAAAUGAGUCUGUACAGGGGGAGCUAAGGUAAGAAAGUAAAAGCCUGCAAGGUAGCAGACUCAGGGUCAUGUGCUGCAACAGUAAACAAUUGUUGAGGGCUAAAUUUGAUCUCUUUUCUUUUCAAUCAAUGCUCUCAGUAUUCAGCUCACAAUUCUUGACUCCUCCAUCUCUCCAUCUCCUUACAGUCUUUCUCAUGUCUGUCAUUUCCUCUCUUUUGCCUUUGCACCACAUCUCUCAAUUAUAUUUAUUCAUGCAUGCCAAGAUAUACAGUGUGAAUAUUCUUAUUAGAUGCUGUUGUAGAGAUUCAUUUCUUUAUGGGGCAGUGAAUUGAUAUUCAUGACUGUGGAAGCGCGUUGUAAGGUGUGUAAUGAUGGCGGAGUCAUGUCCUACCGAAGAAGGCUUUGGAGGGAAUAAUAUUUGGUAUGUUUGCAUCAGCUGCAAUGAGCCUGAGUUGCGCGCCGAGGAUGACACCUUGACUCAGACGGAGGGAAAAAAAGGAAUAGAUUGCGUUUGUGUGACUCAUAGAGGUUUUUUUGAUCAUCAGACUCAUAUUUGACACAGAUCAGAAUUGUUGGCGCGGAAUUGAUUAGCUUUGAGUGAUGAAUAAUGAAUCAUCAAGAGGGCACAAAAGCUGUUGCAGCAUUUUAAAGACUUUAAAGUCACAAAUUGAUUAAAUAAUAUCUAAUUAGGGACAUUUGUAUGCUGAGGGAUGGGAUUACAAUGCCGUAUAAAAAAAAGAAAAGAAAAUGGAGACAGAGGGGGAAGAAAAACAGACAGGAGAAAUGAAAUGUAUGCCUGCAAGAGUGACAUUAUGAUUGCCUUAUUUAUGACAGCCAAGAAAUAAAUCAGGGAAUACUUGUAAUUCUAACCUCAGCUGACUUUGAAGUAACUUUUGAAACAUCAGAUUUUUUACCUCAAAUGCUUAUACACCAACAAUGGAUGCCAAAAACUGAGACAAUGAGACAAUAAAUGUGACAAGAGCUGUUUUAAUUUUGCAGAAAUUAGGGAAAAAUAGCUGAUGGCAGUAGAAAAAAAGAGUCUAUUGUCACCAUACGUCUUAUCUCUGCAGGGAUUUCCCCUUAACAGCAGAGCGGUAAUGAGAAGAGGAAAUUGAGGAGUCUGAAACAACGAUCUUGUAAUGAUAAAAGUAAAGUGCUGUAUUUCAGAGUGACAAACACUUUGUAUUUUAUUUAAGGUCUACAACAUCUUAGUGACAGUAAUAUAUUUUUUUACUUUUCCCAUUACCAGCUUUGUUUGUUUAAUUCCUUCAAAACAAGAGACAAAAUGUGAAAUAGUUUACAAAGAUUUACUUGUCUGACAUUACUUGUGCUGUUAAAUUCCUACAAAGCACCGUGCUGUACUAAAAUGGUUGGAUUAGAACAGGGGAAAUAGUGGUUUCAGGUAAAAUGCAAGACAUCUGGGGGUGUAUUCGUGGCUGCUGUGCUGGUGCAAAGGUGAAGGCAAAGUUGAAGGUUAGGAAAUGGAGAUAUAAACCCUUUCUUCCAUCAGUCAUCAUGGGAAACGUCAACUCUCUGCCCAACAAAAGAGAUGAGUUGGAGAUGGUGAACGCUGAGAAAGCAUACUGAGAGUGCAGUCUCUUGUGUUUUACUGAAACUUGGUUGAAUCAAAACAACUCGGACUCCAGUGUGGAUCUACCUGGCUUCACUCUCAUAAGGUCAGACAGAGAUGCUAAAGCUAGUGGAAAGAAGAAAGGAGGAGGUCUGGCUUUAUUUGUCAACCAGAGAUGGUGUAACCCUUCACACAUACUGUAAGGAGAAGUUGUGUUGUCCAGAUACUGAACUGUUGGCAGUUGCUCUUUAGGGAGUUCAGUCAUACAAUAACAAUACUUGUAUGUAUUCUCCAUGAUUCUGUUGCUAGGAUACAGACUCAACACCCUGAGGCACUAAUGCUACAUUCCAGUUACCUCGGAAGUCGGAGCUGGGAAUGACGUUACACCCGAGUUGACGGCGUUCCAGUAAACAAGUCGAAAAACCAAGAUGGACGCCCACUGUUAGCCGUUGUUAGCCAUUGUUUACAAUUGUUAGCUGUCUUUAGCCGUUGUCAGCUGCUGUUAGUUGUUGUUAGCUGUACCUAACUCUACAAACACCAUAGCACCGUGUUCACAGUUAGACGUUGGGCAUAACUUUUGAACUUUGUACCAUAUUAACAAAUCACUCAUACAGUGUGAUGCAGGUUUUAAAUGUGCGACAGCAAUGAUGGCGUCCAAUGAGAUGGCAAGUAGUGUCAAAAGUGUUUUCUUUUGUUGUGAUAACCACUGAGCUCACAGCGAACGUAAGGCACAAAAGCUACUGGAACUUUAAUUCUUGCGCUAUUUCUGUUCCCCAUUUGUGCCUCUACUGAUCUGCACCUUUUCCUGCUCAGUUUGUGUCGAUGUGUAGACUGUAAACCAGAUUGUUUCCUUAUAAGACUAAUCCCUAAAACUGUUAUAUUACCCAAAACACUCCUGAUAUGGAAAACAAGUACAUAAACAGAGCUAAAAAUUCAUGUUCACACAUAAUUUUACUGAUCAGGUAACAUUAGGUUACGUCUGACGUACUCCAAGUAUUUCCUCCUCUGUGUGUGUGUGUGUGUGUGUUACCGGAACUUUAUAUGUAAAUUAACAACCUGUUACUUUAUUUUGAUGUAAUGAGAUUGUCAGGCCCUGCCUCCCUAAGUCCCCGGACCAUUAAAAAGUACUACCACCUGAGCGGGGGGGGGAGUUUCAGUGCGUACAUUUUCAACCCCAGAACUAAAUUUAGACCUGAGUUCCUUGAAGCACCGUUACUUGAUCCAGCCCAUUCAAGGAUCAUCUGUUUAAGGCUGUGUGUUUGCAGACAUCCUUUUGAUAUAAUACAGUAUUUUGACAGGAUUCAUUUCUUUUAUGUUUUUUUUUUUUUAUUAAGAGGAAUGAUUGAACUGCAUCACUGUGGAUGUCAGCAGAGGCACCGUGACUCUGUCAGUCAUCAUCAUAUCCACUGGGGGGACCAACCACUCCAGGCUGGACCCACAUACAGUAAAUCUGAACAUAUGCUCACAUUCCUCUCUUGUCUCUUGGUGUUUUCUUUCAGAGGCAGAAGGAGGUGAUGCUGGCCAGAGCUGUCCUGCAACAACAUCUGGAACAGUGUCAGUUCUCGCUGUCUGUGUCUGCUGUUCCCUGGCGCUUUUCUUCAAAACUCACCCAGAUUUUUUGACAGCAUGAUGAUUUCUUCUUCUUCUUCUUCUUCUACUUGGUGUUGAAAGUGCAGACAGCUUCCCCCAAGCUUGUGGAAAGAAGGAAUUGGGGUAUUUCUGCAGUUAACAAGCAGGGUAAGACAAUGUAUCUGGUUAACAAAUCUCUUUAAAUUCACGUUUUGAUUUUAGGAUUUGAACCACCUGAAAAUAUGAGCAAAAUGAAGGGACAGAUACAACAAGUUAAAGUUAAAAAAAAAAAGGUAGAUGAGUGAGGAGAGAAAAGAUGGACAUAAACUGAAAUUAUCCUAGCUGCUAUGGGGACUAAAAAAAAAAACACACAUUCCCUCUUUGGUUGGAAAAACUGAGGGAAAAACACAGCUCUUCACUUCGUGAAGAAUAGAUUGUCAUUAUGACUACCAGCCGCCGCACAGCGACACCAUAGUGACAGCUCCAAGAUUGGAAAUAUGAUUGGCUAAUCCUGCAGGAUGAGAUGAAAUACUGUGCCUUUCUGAAGACCAAGGUAAACUUUGUUGAGGACGGGGAGUUAAUUGAAGUGUCACUCCACUCCCGAUUUGAAUGACGUCUUGGACAAAUGAGAAUCACUGUUCCUGCUCUCCCCUCGCUCCCCCUGCUCUGCAUAAAUCUCUGUUUGGAGGUCACCGACUCUGGAAACAGCAUCCGGUCAGUUAGUUCACACCAAUAUCUUCGUCACUCUCAGGCAUAAAAUGGUAGCUGGGCUUUAUCUGCUGCCAGAAGGCUUGACUGACACGCAUAUUAGCUCCUUUCUCCCAAGGCUCUGAAAACACAUCAUAUUUUCCACAACUUUCAUUUUCUCUAUUCAGAUUGCGGCCACAUCGAGGUGUCUUUGUUGCAUACUAAUUGUGCCAGGCUCACCUCAGAGAACAAGGCAGACAUCUAUAUAUGCAAGGAACUGACUAUUUUUCACUGCCUCUGUCGCAAUAAAAAGUGGCACCCAAGACAGGUUGCAGAGUAGCUAAGAUUGGGCGUCAUCCGUGGAGAACUGAUGUAGAUCAAAACAUGGACAAAAAAACAGAUUGUUUUGGGACAAAAGGUCUAUGUAGCAAUAUAAACACAUUCUCUCUUUCUCUGAAACUGCCACUUUUUGCUCCUCUCAGCCUCUUUUGAUAGUCUUUUUCCCUACUGUUGUUUCCCCACUUUCUUUCUACAACUCUAAUUUAACAGAAAUCACAUUUUUCCCCUCAUUUAAAUGACAAAAAAGAGGCCUCUUGUUUUCCCUGUCUAAUUCGACUCCCAUCUUGUGCUCUCCUGUAUUCGAUGUGUUCUGUCUGAGAGAAAGAUGAUGGUACCCAAAAAAUAUUAGACUUCUGAGGUGAAAUAAUCCCAGGUUUCUGUUGUAUGUAUUAUAACUUUACAGAUAGAAUAUGGUGAACAAUAACCCACUGAAGUCCAACGAUUACCUGCUAACGCAACAGCGUUUGCUCUUUUCAGGAGUUCCCAUUGGUUGCUUUGUCCGUUUUAUGCAGGUGCUUUCUGAAACUAUUGUUCCCUGCACUGGUUGGAGGCAAAUGAAAGAAUUUUUAAAAAACUUUGCCCUUAAUUUUAAAGAUCUGAAUUUUGUUUAUAAUGAGGCUUUUCAGCAAAGUGACAAGCCUUUUAAUUGCUGGUAUUUGAGACUAGGGGUGGGAAUCACCAGUGGCCCUGCAAUACCAUAUUAUCACGAUACUUGGGCCACGAUACGAUAUUAUUGCGAUUUUUAACAUUUCGCGAUACAGUGAGUAUUGCGAUACCAUAUAUUGAGAUUUAUACAAUUUUUUCAACUGUUUAGCCAAUUUAGCAUUUGGCUUUCCUUUAUGUUUGUCUUAUUUACACUCCUAAUGUCUUUCCCCAGGUGCUGCUAUAUUUGUUGAACCAACUUUCUCCUGCUCUUAAUGUCACCUCUGUCAACCUCAUUGGACAAACAGUUGAUUUUUUUCCAUUAUCAUAGAUUUGAUGUCAUAUUCACAAUUAAUUUAAAAAAAUUGAUACUUGGUAUUGAGACGAUCCGAUAUAUCACCAGACAAAAUAUCGCGAUACUAUGCUGUAUCGAUUUUUCCUCCCACCCCUAUUUGAUACUGCGGUUGUGUAGAACAGCUUGUGCACAAGUUUUGUCUCAGAGUUCAUAUUAUUUCAUUGCACUUAAUGAAACUGUUCGAGCUUCCUUCAUUCAAAGAUGUCUGAAUCAGCCGAGCAACAAAUUUCAAAGAGAGCAACACUUUGUACAUCACACAGCACAAUAAGCCAAAUCAGUUUUAGAAAACAUGAUCUAUUAUUUUUUAAUUAGCUGGGCAAGCACUAAUGGAAAGUAAUAAUAGUUUUUUAAACAUGUUUUAUUUUCAAAAGGAGGUUUCAAUAGGCUUUAGUUUUGUACUCCAUAGUUAACGGCUAAAAUGAAGAGCAGACGUGGAGGCACAGGCUGCUUCAAGAACAUUUUGUUUGGACAACAAGAAUUAUUAAAGAUGGGACUCUAGUGGUUGAGAGGAUGCAUUUUCUCUGUUUCUCAUGUCUCUAUUAUAUCUAUGGGCCUUUGCUUUGUAUGUAUGGAGAAAAGCUCAAGGAGAACGGGCCCCUCACCGAAAGAAAAUGCAGAAAAAAGAAAGGGGGGAAAAAAAUGGGAAGGUCUUUGGAAACCCUGUUUUGAUGCUCAUUUCAUGGAUGCCGUGUGUGUGAGAGACAGAGAGAGAGAGAAGGCCAUGUAUUUGGGAUGAAAUGAGUAACAUGUUGUGUCUUGUGUGUGUGUGUGUGGCUUAGGAUGGCAUGAGUAACCUGAUGAUGUGUGUUGGAGCCAGAGGACGCAUGAGUCGCACUGGAGGACAGAGGAAACAGCAGCUGCCGUGGCACGAUCACAGACAUGCAUACAAAGAAAGCUCAAUGAGGAAACCCAGGCUAGUAAACAUGCACUCCUCUUAUUUAAAGGACAGUUGUCAAUAUUUAUACAAUGUUUCUUUAAUUUUUUAUGAUUUCAUUUAUGCAUUUAAGAGUUUUGCUCCAUAUGGGAACCAUUUACAGGCAACAAAUAACAUAAAAUACUAUCAUAUUAUAUAGCGUGUCCUUGAAACGAUCUUAAAGGUGAGUUUGAAACAAACAAGAAAAUCCCAGUACAGUGUGUCUUUGAUAGUAAUUUGGUGGUUUAAUAUCUACCUAAAGGGAAAAGAGGAAACCCUGCCUCAUAGCUGACAAUGUAAACGAGAUUGUUUUUAUAUCCUCUGCAAUAAAAGGGCGAGAGGUGGAGAAACACUGAUCAAAUAAACAUAAAGGUGAAUAAUUCUCCAUCCUCAAAAUGCUG